UCUGGUUCGUAAAAAUGGAAAAGAAAGGAUCAGGACACACAUUCCCUCCAAGAAAUGGCAUGUAGUAGAAAUGACAUAUAUUAGUUUUAUAAGAAAGUUUCUUGCCUUGGAGAGUGCAGUGUUCAGCAUGCAUGGCACCAUAUACUGUCACAUAUGAAGUAUGAUACAGCUUAAGUAGCCAACUCUCUCAUUUCACACUGCCCUGCUCAGACACUUAUUUAUAUACUGUAAGAAAUUCUACAUUCUACAACUAAAGGACCUUGUAGAAGGCUCAGAGGAGAUGUAUGAACCAAUUAAAGGAUUGAAAAUAAGCCAUACAAGGCAAGAUGAAAGCAAGUGGGCUUUAUUUGGCCCACAAACGUACACUUAUGUUUUCAUAUGUCCAUUUAGGUUUUCCACGUUUCCACAGAGGAAAAACCCAUAAAACUGGAAAUAGGCUACAGCAAUAGAGAUUUAGGUUAGAUAAAAGAAAGAAUGUCUGGGUGCAUGAGGUCCUUAGACCGGUUCUGAUGUGGGGAAUAAAAGCCCUGAUCAUUGCUGGUUGGGAUAGAUUUGUUAUGAUACUAUUUGAAUACGAGGACAUGAAUCGGACAACUCCUUCCUAGCCCUAUGCUUUUAAGAAACAUCAGUUUAAUAUUAGUAUAAUUAUUAGCAUAUGGAUUUUCUUAGCAUAAAUAGGAAAUAUAACAAAAUUGUCACCAACAAGUUACUCCAUUGAAGGGUUAAAGGCAUAAAAACUUUUGCAUUUGAGACAAGUUCAUUACUUAGUGAAUUUGAUUCUUUUUUUUUUUUAAGCCAUGAUUUUUUCCCCCUCCCGGGUGGCAGUUUUAGGACUUUUUUAUUUUUUAAAGAGGUGCUAUAAGAUUCUGUCUAAAAGUAGCCUUCUACUGGACAUAUUUCAUACUUCACUCUGCAUAAUUAUUAUUACUUGAGAAGGUGAUGUAGUGUAAAGAUAUCUGAAUUACGAAGCAGGGUUCCUCUGUUAUCUCUUCCACUAGCUUGCAAUAUGACCUUGGACAGGUCAUGUUUGAAUGUCAUUCCUCAGCUGCCUUGUGGAAACCUCAGGACAGUGCUUCAAGAAGUGAUCUCUUAUGAGAUCUUUCCUUCCUUGAAAUUCUUUUGGAUUAGGAAUUCAAAUUGUGAAUUAUUAAGAAUUAUGAAAUCUUUUCAAUUAUGAAAUCAUAAUUUAGCUGAGCUCCACAACUUAGGAAAUCACCACUCAGUGCAAGAUGCUAGCCUUUCUGUCAAACUUUCUGCCUCUUCAAAGAUUGCCUCGACAUACAAAGACAGAGAGUCCACAGCGUCUUACCUAGACAGCGAGGAGCUGAAACGCCCAGGCAUGACAUUGUUCAACGCUCAGGCUAGCCAAGAAGUCCGUCCCCGUUAGUUCCUCCAAAAUAUAAGUUCACGUUUUCGUGGUUGAGAUCAUGGCUCUAUUCUAAGCAGUUUUACGCAGUGUGUGAUUCUAACAAAAACACCCUCUGCAGCUGGAGGGAGCCGCAGUUAAAGCAGGAGUCUGUCAAGGCGUUCCUAGUGACUUCUGUCCACUAAAUUCAGACUGAUGUUUUGCGAAAGGGGCCUCCACAAGCAGGCCCAGAUUGCCUGGGAAGCAUUUCCUGCCUCUGAGCAGUGCAUGUGAGAAAGAGUGCACGAAGCAGAGGGAGGGGGGCCGAGCACAGCCCGCCUGGGCGUUUUAGGAGUUCUGAUUUUACACAGAACUGAAGUGAGUUUGUCAAAGCUCUUGAGGUGAUUAGCUGGAGAGUCAUAAAGUCGUAGAGCUUUCUCUAUCCCACACUGCUGAUGAAUAAAAAAAAAAAAAAAAAGGAAAGAAAACAGAUUUUUCCUUCCUCUACAGCAUUUCCACUAUAUUAAAUGCAUGUGCACAACUUAAUCCAAAUACCUUUGCCGUUCUCCUCUCAGAAGAUCUCUUAGGAGAGCAAGAUGAAUUUAGGUGUUUUAAAAACGGUAAUCCCCUAAACGCAAAAGUUUUUUUUUCUUUUUCUUUUUUUUUUUUUAACCCUACUUACAAGUUAAAAUGCUACAGCCCUGCAUACUGUACCUGACAAGGUCUGUGAGGAUAAUCCCGAGAAGCCAGGAGAUAGAACGUUGCCUUCAAACCUCUCCAAUCCCAGGAAUCCUUCACAGAAUUAAAGUAGUUUCUGUCAUGGCACAUGCAGCUUUACCUCCAGUCAGAAUCCUCCAGUUACACAAGCGCAGGGCUGGGAGAGCAGGAGACAGACUCCAUCUUGAUCCCAUUACAGUCUUGCUGACAUUAAGUACUUGCAAGUUCUUCCAUCCAGCAUGACAGAGUCCCUGAAUCACAUCUCCAGAGCAGCUCACGGUAUCUGCACCCUUCGUCCGACACAAAUUUUGUGAACUAUCAUCUGUUUAUCUUUUCUGCUUUCUUGUGCCUCCACUGAAUGACUUCCUCCUAGCCGCUUCAGGCUGGGAACUUGGACUACCAUUUGGUUUUGAUUAAAACCAGACAGCCAACUCUGGAGAAUUUAGGGAAUAAGCUAAUGGAAACUGCAAAUAUGGCUUUAAUUAGUGCAUCAAUUAAUAAUAGAUGUUAGCUCGUCUUAUAAUAAGAUGACACAAAUAUCAACGCAGAGGAAGCUCAAGUCCUUUCAGGAAAGAAGUUAUACCAAUUCUCAUUCCUUUAUGACCCAGAAUUCUCUUUAGGGAAAGUGGAAGGAAAGGAGAGGGAUGUGGCCUUAGGACAUCCAGGUUGUGCAGAGGCCAGUGGAGCCGCUUUGUUGUUUAUACCAGAGAAACAGGAAACAGUAUCUCUGAGUUUAAUUAUCUUGCUUGGUUGAAAUUGCUCUGUAAUGUCUCCCUUCUACUUUAUUUACAAUAAGUGGAUUCUCUUGUUAUUUAUGACCUAAGCAUUUUUUUUUUUCCUGUGACUAGUGAUUACAUCAAUCUGAUUAUUGGGUCUACGUGCAGCUUACAAAUUUCUAGAGAUUUCCCGUAAUGGGAAUUAUGCGAACAAAUCCAAUUUCAAUAUGAUAAAUGAAUAACAUAUAGAAAGGUACAAGAAACACUAAACUUUUUAGCCUUAAGAGUCACCCUGUGCGUCUCUGACAUUGUAAGUAGUUUUCACUGCUGGCUUCUGUUUCAGUUGGCUCUAACUUUUAUAAAGACUGACAGAUAACUAGAUAUCACAACGGCCAUCUUUUUAGUAUCCCCAGAGAUAGUGGGUAGCUGAUAACCUGAAGAAGUAUGAUGAGAUAGCUACGAUUUCUUUUCUUACUGGAUAGAUAACUAAAAUCUCUCAGAAGUAAUGCAAAUCAUGGACUAUUAGAGAAAUAUGAAAUAGCAAGACAAAAAGACUGCAUAUGAAUUUAAAGAUGAGAAGCAUUCAAGUAAAAACAUGUGGGCAGAAAAGCAAGUGUUAGAAGUUUAUAGAAAAACAUGAGCGAUUUAAAAAAUGAGCAUUUAGAUUCCUUUAAUGCAACCUUCAACUACAUGGCAAGAAGGAAGUCCAUAAUUUCAUAAAUCCUUUGAAGACUUACUAUAUUCAUAUUGAAAAUACUUCCACUGAAACUAUGCCCAUUUACUGUUCCCAAUAAUCUUUUUGUGUGCUCUUAUUUUUUUUAAGUUUAUUUAUUUUUGAGCGA
Felis catus (domestic cat) is the source of this 3620-nucleotide long non-coding RNA. RefSeq lists it as uncharacterized. The record is from RefSeq and is a predicted model, not a curated record. The transcript is spliced from 2 exons. Lineage: Eukaryota; Metazoa; Chordata; Mammalia; Carnivora; Felidae.